Molecule: non-coding RNA, 2653 nt
Organism: Nicotiana tabacum (common tobacco)
Lineage: Eukaryota; Viridiplantae; Streptophyta; Magnoliopsida; Solanales; Solanaceae
Source: RefSeq, a predicted model, not a curated record
UUUCGGUAAUGGAAUGUGAGGCAAAAACCCUAACUUAUCAAUUUUCCUUUCUCUUUCGUUCUCCGCCUCACUACUUCUGCCACUAAUCACAGGCUUCACCAUCGUCGUCGGCACUCAUCCAAGCGGCCAUCGUCAUCAUCGUCGGAAAUCCAAGCGCCCAUCGUAGGUACUCAGGCUCCUCUCCAUCUCCGAUGGAAUCUCGUAAUUGGAUGUAUAAUAGGAAUUAUCCUAAUCGUCGGUUUUUGAGGGAGGAAUUUAUAGAAGGGGUUAAGGAAUUUAUUACGCAUGCAAUGUCACUUGAACCGUUUCGGAUUGGACGGUUGAUUAGGUCUCUUUGUGUGAAGUGCAAGUGUCUGCAUUAUUUUGGACCGGCGGAUGUUAAGAGUCAUCUUUAUAAAAAAGGGUUUAUGGAUAAUUAUUUUGCGUGGACUAGUCAUGGAGAGAUUGAUGGUACUGAUGGUGUAUUUCAUAAUGUAGUAUUGGUGAAAGUAGUAGGUCGGUGGGGAAUAACGUUCAACAUCCGAGAUACCAUGAAAUGGUUGCGGAUGCUCUAGGGAUGCACUUCGAUUUUUAAACCCACGAAAGUGUUGAACAAACUCCUAAUGAAGAAGCAAAAUAUUUUUAUGAACAGUUAGAGGCUGCUAGUCGUCCACUAAAACACGGGAGUACACUCUCAGUUGUCUGUUGCGGUUAGAUUAUUAAGUAUCAAAUCAGAUACCAAUAUUUCUCAAGCAGGAAUGGAUUCUUUCAUUGGCCUUAUGAGUGAACUAGUUGACCCAAAUUUCAACAUACCUGAAGAUUUCUAUAAGGCUAAAAGAUUGGUUUCUAAGUUAGGACUCUCGUCUAUGAGAAUUGAUUGUUGUGAAGAUGGUUGCAUGUUGUAUUAUAAGGGUGAUGCAGAUGGCCGGUAGGGGUCGAGGUAGGUCUAGGAAGGAUAAAAGGCCUACUGAUCAUGAUGAUGGUGCUACACCCUCGCUUCCUUCCACUCCACACUUUCAUCCCUCUGCUGCCGAUGGCCGGCAGCAAUCUUCUAGGCAUAGAUCUAUUUCACCACAUCCAUCUACUCAUUAUACUACCCACCAUUCGCCCGUCCAACAGUAUUAUCACAAUUCUCCGCCAUAGGGCUAUACCCCGCUUCCUCCUAAUGAUCCUACCAAUAGUUACAUGGGUGCAUCGAGUCACCAGUCACAGUCACAGAGAUAUGUGAUACGCCCGUCAUCUGCUCCAUUUGCUUCAUCUCCAACCGGAUCGCACCCAUCUAGAUUUCAGAUGGCCGGAUCGCAGCAGGAUCGCAACAGGGGUCUAGACAUAUGCAGGGAUGUGGAUCGCAGCCAUCUUCACGGACCCCGUCUCCCUCUCCGCAGAGUUCGUCUCCUAGUGUUUCUAGACUUCGUCUUCGGGAUAGUAGCACUGAGCCAAAUGCCCUCUCUUCUGUGCAUGCUUCAGAUUUUUCAGAGGAUGAUGAUCCGGAUGAUGUGCGUUAUGAUCAUUACCAUAGGAUGAUCAUCAGUCCUGAGGGCAAUGGGUUUAUUCCUAAUAAUCGGGUUACAAAGAUAAUCACUGAUAUACUUGGCUCGUUGUAUUUAACACCCUAUCCGGCUUGGAGUGACUUUCCAGAGAGUCUCGUGCAACAGAUGUUCAACCAAUUUAAGACUAAGUGUUCAUGGGAGGACCAGUAUAACCGUGAAAUUUGUAAAAAUUAGAAGUACAAAUACCGUAAGAGACUCUCUGAUUCCUUCAGCUCCGCUCGAAGGGUUAAAAAGAAGCCUUCAUGGGUUCUACCGCAUAUAUGGGUGGAUCAGGAAAAGUAUUGGACCACCGACAAAUUCAAGAAGCAGAGUGAAUAGGGAAAGAAGGCCCGAGCAUCUGAGAAGGGUGGCUCCUUGCACUGUUUGGGUUCAAGGAGCAUGGGGAUACAAGGAGACAUCUGAAAAAAAAUUGGGGAGGAAGAUUGAUUCAUGAUGAGUUCUUCAUGGAGACUCACACCUGGAAGAAGGCACUGACAGAUCCAACUAGAUGGGUCGAGGACCAGGCAGAGACUACACAUGGUUGCUACAAGAUCAAUUUGGAGGAGUACACUCAGAGCUUGCCACCGAAUGAGCAAGACGAGCGACCGCCCAUUUCAGACGAAGAAGAGAAUAGGAUAUGGUUGGGUACUGUCGGUGGUCCUAAAAAGGGGAUAGCAUACGACCUUUCAGAUAAAUUGUUUCGGCGCUACAAGGCUGGAUUGCAAGGUAUAGGGACUUCCGCCCAAGGCGAGGCGAUUGAUAGUUCGACUAUAGCGUCUAGGGAAGAUAAGAUUGCAAAGCUGACAGCAGAGCAGGAAGAGACCAAGGCUAGUGAAAAGAAGAGAUUUGAUACCCUUCAAGGUCAGCUAGAAAGGAGGGACAAACAAUUUGAUCUCCUUUAAGGCCAGCUGGCCAAUCUUCUUGCUUGUGGUGCUUUCUCCAUUCCCCGGUCUCCUCCCCCUUCCCCACCUGCCGGCGAUGAAAGUCCGAGGAUCGAAGAUGGAGAUGAUGCUACAUAAAAAACUCAUUGAAUGUUGUGUAUUGUUAAACAAAGUUGUAAACUUGUCAAUAUUUUGUUGUUGGUUAUUUGAAUGAUGAUUAUAUUAUUAUUUUGUUAUUGAACACUUUAGUAGUUGUUGUGGUUA